UAAAUAUAGCUAAUUGGGAAUAAUACAUAUAUAUAUUUAAUAAGUCUAACGUAAAAUGUAUAAAUAGUGUUAUCUAUGAGAUUUAUUUUAAUUUGCUUAACUCAAAUUAAUUUGGCUUCGGAGCGCGCCAUUUGCACAUGUGCAAGACAAGCUCAGAGAAGAACAUGCUCAGAGAGCGUGUGUGUCCGCCAUUUUCUCGUCUGCCGCCGAAAGGACUGCUAUGUUGUAUUCGUUAUUGGCCUGAUGAUCUACCUGACUGAAGAUACAGACUCUUUCUUCAAGGAGUAUGUGGCCACUGAGGAUGCAGAAAAUUCAAUCCCAAACACAGUCAUGGGGAUUUAAAAAAUCCAAAGAGGAGAUUGUACAGAAGACAUCGGAGUUGUGAUCGAGGGCAUUAAGGUUUUGAGCAACCUAGACUGCGUGAUUCUGGCAUUCAUCAAUCGGUCUCAUUUAUGCUCUUGAUCUUAGUUUUCCUGAAAACCUCAAGUACACCUUCGACUCUCGUAAGAGAACCUAAUGAACUUUGAUGGACUUGAAUGCAAAGAUCCUGCAACUCAAAAUCAAGCUGUUUGCAUGAGAUGUGCAAUAAUGUGAAUUAUUUGAAAAUACAUGCACGUGCACACACACAAAAAAGUACAUUUCCUUUUUAUACAUUCUUACAUGCUUUUUCUUACACACUUUUUGUGUAUUUCUAGUUAGUCAUUUAUGUCUUUUUAGGGAUAGUUCACCCAAAAAUGAUAAUUGUCAUCAUUUACAGACCCUGGGGUUGUUCCAAACCUGUAUAAAAUGUCUUUAUUCUGUUGAACACAAAGGAAGAUGUGUUAAAGAAUAUGGGAAACUGAACUGUUCUGGGCCACCAUUGAUUUCCAUAGUUGUUGUUUUUUUCUUCCUACUAUGGAAGUCAAUGGUGGCCCAGAACUGUUCAGUUUCCCAUAUUCUUUAACAUAUAGAUCCUUUGUGUUCAACAGAAUAAAGACAUUUGUACAUGUUUGGAACAAACUGAGGAUGAGUAAAUGAUGACAAAAUUUUCAUUUAUCCCUUUUUUAAGUUCACCCAGAUAUUAAAAUUAUGUCAUUAAUAACUCACCCUCAUGUCGUUCCAAACCUGUAAGACCUCCGUAUAUCUUCGGAACACAGUUUAAGAUAUUUUAGAUUUAGUCCGAGAGCUCUCAGUCCCUCCAUUGAAGCUGUGUGUACGGUCUACUGUACAUGUCCAGAAAGGUAAGAAAAACAUCAUCAAAGUAGUCCAUGUGACAUCAGAGGGUCAGUUAGAAUAUUUUGAAGCAUCGAAAAUACAUUUUGGUCCAAAAAUAGCAAAAACUACCACUUUAUUCAGCAUUGUCUUCAAUUCCGGGUCUGUUGUGAGCGCGUCGUAUGUAUUUUCGAUGCUU
Molecule: long non-coding RNA, 1390 nt
Organism: Carassius carassius (crucian carp)
Lineage: Eukaryota; Metazoa; Chordata; Actinopteri; Cypriniformes; Cyprinidae
Exons: 4
Source: RefSeq, a predicted model, not a curated record